This 1239-nucleotide long non-coding RNA is filed under the name Panax ginseng (ginseng). RNAcentral describes it as "long non-coding RNA (PGIN_LNC006687)". The record is from RNAcentral. Lineage: Eukaryota; Viridiplantae; Streptophyta; Magnoliopsida; Apiales; Araliaceae.
UUUCCUAGUACUUUGAAAUUUCACCGUUUUAAAUCUAUGACUUCUUUUUGUGAUCCGUCAAAAAGGGAUGUUAGAUAUAUGUGUUUAGUAGUUAACCCAAGUGGUAGUACUCAAAAAUGUUGAGUUUACAUGGGGUAGUGACUGAUUUGGUGAAAACAGUUCCGUUUUUACAACCAAAAAUGGGCAGAUUCGGGGCAGUCAGUAGCGAGGGCAAUUUCGUCCAGUUUUUGUGCUUUAAAAAUUCUGGGCUUUUGAUAUGUUGUAGUACACUGUUUUAGCUUUCCAUAGACUCCGGAACGGACUAAUUCCGACUCCGGAUGAGGUAGUUAUGGCGUUCGGAAGGUGCGUAGCAAAACUGUUCCUCAAUUUCCGAACAGCCUUCUUGAUGUAAAUUUUUGGACUGUUGUGUUCUGAUUUUGGAAAAAUGUCGUGAGACAAAAGUUGUAGCCCUGGAAGUUAUCUUCGCGUGGGCUCAAGAAUCGCUCAAAAAUGUUUUAAAACGCGAGAGUUAUGGCUGUUUUAGUGAGGCUGGGUAAAAUUUUCAAAAAAAAUCAAAAGUGUCCAAAAAUAGGAAAAAUGCGAUGUAUGAAGUGAGACCCGUGAGCAUGGCGUAUGCAAGUUUGUAAUGAAGUUUUGGGUCGGGUUUAAGGUGUUGUGAUGUUUAUGACAUUUUAAAAUGUUUAAACAAGUUUAUUAAUUACGGGAAGGAAAACAAUUGAAAUAAUUGUUUAUUUAAGUGAUUAAUGACAUAAAUUAUUCUUAUGUGACUAAUAAUAUGGUAUUAAGAUAUUAUUAGUAGUAUGUGACUGAAAUGUUAUUAAAAGGUUAGUAACCUUAGUGUAAAUGUUAUUACAUAAUUAAUAAUAUUUGACGGGAGAUUUAAUAAGAGAUUUAUGAUAUUUUGAGGUUUUCGGUGCUCAAAAUGAAGUUUUUGAGCUGAGAUUUACGUAACGAAGCAAAAAUGCGAAUAAUCGUAAAAUGAAAAAUAAAGCGAAUGUGCUAGUGAGAUAAAAUGUUUAUAUAUGAGGCAAUAGUCAAUGUUGACUCAUGAACGGACAAACUGAAGUAAAAGUUAUUUAAAGUGAAGAAAUAAUAUAGUAAAUUGAUUUUUACUAUAAAAGCUAUACAUUAGCUGUUUAAACUCCGAAUUUGCGAGUAGAGGUAAAAGAUAUUUCUAAAAUGAAAUUUAAAUGGUUUAAGUUUCAAGGUGUAAAAUAUUUGCAUCUUAAAAUGUGUGAG